AACGAACGCUGGCGGCAGGCCUAAUACAUGCAAGUCGAGCGCGCCCUUCGGGGUGAGCGGCGGACGGGUGAGUAACGCGUGGGAAUAUGCCCUUCUCUAAGGAAUAGCCUCUGGAAACGGAGAGUAAUACCUUAUACGCCCUUUGGGGGAAAGAUUUAUCGGAGAAGGAUUAGCCCGCGUUAGAUUAGGUAGUUGGUGGGGUAAUGGCCUACCAAGCCUACGAUCUAUAGCUGGUUUGAGAGGAUGAUCAGCCACACUGGGACUGAGACACGGCCCAGACUCCUACGGGAGGCAGCAGUAGGGAAUCUUAGACAAUGGGGGCAACCCUGAUCUAGCCAUGCCGCGUGUGUGAUGAAGGCCCUAGGGUCGUAAAGCACUUUCGCCAGAGAUGAUAAUGACAGUAUCUGGUAAAGAAACCCCGGCUAACUCCGUGCCAGCAGCCGCGGUAAUACGGAGGGGGUUAGCGUUGUUCGGAAUUACUGGGCGUAAAGCGCACGUAGGCGGAUUAGUAAGUUAGAGGUGAAAUCCCAGGGCUCAACCCUGGAACUGCCUUUAAUACUGCUGGUCUUGAGUUCGAGAGAGGUAAGUGGAAUUCCGAGUGUAGAGGUGAAAUUCGUA
This 618-nucleotide ribosomal RNA is filed under the name uncultured Alphaproteobacteria bacterium. RNAcentral's name for it is "bacterial SSU rRNA". It matches the Rfam family "Bacterial small subunit ribosomal RNA", at positions 28 to 692 of the family's 1533-position model. The record is from RNAcentral. Lineage: Bacteria; Pseudomonadati; Pseudomonadota; Alphaproteobacteria.